GCUCAAAUUUGAAGAGAAAAAAAACAUUUUGUUUUAAUAAUAUUUGGUAUUCACGGCUGCCCUUCGGUACGCGGAUAUCUUGUGAAAAAUACGUAGGUACUAUAAUACGAAUCGAAUAUCCUGUAGAGUGUGGUUUUAUUUAUACACGCAGGUACGCACUGGUAUUACGCGUGUACAUAAUAUUAUAUUAUACCGUAUACGAUAUUAUAUUAACCGCG
Non-coding RNA from Cinara cedri, 218 nucleotides. Lineage: Eukaryota; Metazoa; Arthropoda; Insecta; Hemiptera; Aphididae. The record is from the annotation of a GenBank genome assembly.